Long non-coding RNA from Beta vulgaris subsp. vulgaris (sugar beet), 615 nucleotides. RefSeq lists it as uncharacterized. The record is from RefSeq and is a predicted model, not a curated record. The transcript is spliced from 3 exons. Lineage: Eukaryota; Viridiplantae; Streptophyta; Magnoliopsida; Caryophyllales; Amaranthaceae.
AAUGAUUUCCUCUAGGUGAUGAAGGUGGUUAUGGUAAGAAGGGGAAGGGCCAUCGUAAGGAUAAGGUAAUUGAUGUUUUCUGUUGUGAAAUGUGAAUUUCUCUGGUAGAUAAAUAGCAGUAAAUAAUAUAUUAGGAAUCAUGUAGGUCAAUGAGGAGGAAAAGGGCAGUGAAUCAUGGCAUGAUGAAGAAGAGGACGAGGAUGAGGAAGUGAAUGGACUAUGGUGCAAGAGCGGCAAAGGGGGUAGGCUUCCUGAUGAAGUAUACAGGGUAGUUAGUUUAACCAAUUGAAGUAUGUUGAAUUUAUUUUAUGUAGUUAAUUUUACUGAAUGAGAUUGCAAUAGCAGGUUAAUAAAUUAAGUGUUGGUGGAAGGUUGAAGGAGAGUGGGGAAGUGAUUGCUAGCCGGGUGCUACUUAACAAUAAAAGGGAAGUGAAUUUCAAUUGCCGAGUCGAGACAUUUGGUCAAAUCGUAAAGCAAUUUGAUGAGAGGAAAAAGCGUUUGGUGGCUGAAAUGGGGUUUGCUGGAUUAUUGCACUUUGUGGAUAAGGGUUUGCCGAGGAAUUUAUGUUAUUGGUUGUGCACAAUGGUAGAUGUGAAGAGGAGGGUAUUGGUGUUG